UUUUUAUACAGAGGCGUGGAGAGACAGGCUCUACGAAGCGCCGGCAACCAUCCGUAAGUGCGGAACGGUGCCAAGUCCUGACCAUAUAAAAA
This 92-nucleotide non-coding RNA is filed under the name Hymenobacter gelipurpurascens. RNAcentral's name for it is "SAM-I sequence". It matches the Rfam family "SAM riboswitch aptamer (S box leader)". Rfam says of the family: The SAM riboswitch is found upstream of a number of genes which code for proteins involved in methionine or cysteine biosynthesis in Gram-positive bacteria. Lineage: Bacteria; Pseudomonadati; Bacteroidota; Cytophagia; Cytophagales; Hymenobacteraceae. The record is from RNAcentral. RNAcentral also lists the same sequence under 1 other name.